GUCGCCAGGCUGAAGUGCAGUGGUGGGAUCUUGGCUCACUACAACCUCCACCUCCCUGGUACAAGCGAUUCUCCUGCCUCAGCCUCCCAAGUAGCUGGGACUACAGGCACAUGCCACCAUACCCAGAUAAUUUUUGUAUUUUUAGUAGAGAUAGGGUUUUAUCAUGAUGGCCAGGAUGGUCUCUAUCUCUUGACGUUGGUGAUCCACCCACCUCAGCCUCCCAAAGUGCUGGGAUUACAGGCAUGAGCCACUGCACCCAGCCAGCUUUUCACAUUUUAUCUGUGUUGUGUGGCUUUCUUACCCUGAAAAGUGAAUUCUUUAGGGAUAAGAGUUUUGUUAUCUUCUUUAAAUCCCCACCACUCAGCACAGCUCUUGAUGCAUGGUAUGCAGUCAAUAUAUAAUAAGCAAAUUAGCAAAUCCAGGGCAGAGUAUCUUUAAAAGAAAACAGAGGCUGGCCCAGAAAUUAAUAAUAAGAAACCUAAUAGGACUCCGAGAAAAGGCAAUUACUGUGUUAAUUAUGCCUCAAAAACAUCUUUUCUUUAAAUACCGUAGAAAUCGGCCAGGCACGGUGGCUCAAACCUGUAAUCUCAGUACUUUGGGAGGUCAAGGUGGGCUAAUCACUUGAGCCCAGGAGUUUAAGACCAACCUGGGCAACAUGGCGAAACUCCGUCUAAAAAAAACAAACAAGAAAAAAUAAAAAAAAUUAGCCAGCAUGGUGUUGCACACUUCUAGUCUGAGCUACUUAGGAGGCUGAGGUAGGGGGAUCAUCUGGGUCCAGGAGGCUGAGGCUGCAGUGAGCCCUGAUCAUGAUACUGCACUCCAGCCUGGGUGACAAAACAAAACCUGAUUUCAAAACAAAACAUAGAAAUCCUCAAAGAAGCUUCUCUUUAGAUUUUCUUCCCACAUAGGAAAACAGUAUGAAGUGAAAAUUGAGUGAAAUCAGGGCUCCAUGGGCUGAUCACUAAGGCUUUAAGAAAAAAAUUUGGGUGCUCCUUACUUAGGGAAAAUGUGAAUGUCAAUUACCCUUUUCUUUUUUCUAAAAGGAAGUCUCACUCUUUUGCCCAGGCUGGAGUGCAGUGGUACGAUCUCGGCUCACUGCAACCUCUGCCUCCCAGGUUCAAGUGAUUCUCCUGUCUCAGCCUCCUGAGUAGCUGGGAUUAUAGCCAUGUACCACCAUUCCUGGCUAAUUUUGUAUUUUUAGUAGAGACCAGGUUUCACCAUGUUAACCAGACUGGUCUAGAACUCCUGAGCUCUAGUGAUCUGCCCAUCUCUGCCUCCCAAAGCACAGAGAUUAACAGGCAUGCGCCACCACAUCUGGCCUUAGUUGCCCGUUUCUAACUCUUGUUCAGUCUAUAAAUAGGAGCUAGGCUCUAUUUCCAGAUAUUCUGAGUUAACUGGUUGAGCAUAUAGGCAUUGGUACAUUUAAAAGCCUCCCUAAAUUAUUAAAUAUGCAGCCAGGUUGGAGAAGCAGUUCCUAGAAUGAUAUUAUGGACAGAAUGCACCCCUCUUAAACUUUUAUGUUGAAGCCCUAACCCCCCUUUUGGGGGUGAGACCUUGGGAGGUAAUUAGGUUUAAAUGAGGUCUUGAGAGUAAGGCCCCCAUGUUGGGAUUAGUGUCCUUAUAAGAGGAAGAGACCAGACCUCUCUCUCUGUGUCUCUUUCUCUCUCCAUCUGAGGACACAGAUGGAAGUUGGCCAUCUGCAAGCCAGGAAGAAGGCUGUUACCAAGAACCUGAUUGUGCUGACACUGUGAUCUUGGACUUCCCAGCCUCCAGAACUUUGAGAAAUCAAUAUCUGUUUUUUUCUUUUGUUUUGUUUUUUGAGACAGAGUCUUGCUCUGUGGCCCAGGCUGGAGUGCAAUAGCAUGAUCUCUGCUCACUGCAACCUCGGCCUCCUGGGUUUAAGCGAUUCUCCUGUCUGAGCCUCCUGAGUAGCUGAGAUUACAGAUGCCCACCACCACACCCAGCUAACUUUUAUAUUUUUAGUAGAGAUGGGGUUUCACCAUAUUGGUCAGCCUGGUCUUGAACUCCCGACCUCAGGUGAUCCGCCUGCCUUGGCCUCCAAAGUGCUUGGAUUACAGGCGUGAGCCACUGUGCCUGGCUCUUUUUUUUUUUUUUUAGAUGGAGUCUCGCUCUUGUCUCCCUGGCUGGAGUGCAGUGGCAUGAUCUCCACUCACUGCAACCUCUGCCUCCCAAGUUCAAGUGAUUCUCCUGCUUCAGCCUCCUGAGUAGCUGGGAUUACAGGUGUUUGCCACCACAACUGGCUAAUUUUUGUAUUUUUAGUAGAGACAGGGUUUCACCAUGUUGGCCAGGCUGCUCUCGAACUCCUGACCUCAGGUGAUCUACCUGCCUUGGCCUCCCGAAGUGCUGGGAUCACAGGUGUGAGCCACUGUACCUAGCCCUUUUUUCUUUCUUUCUUUUUUUUUUUUUUGAGACAGAGUCUCAAUCUGUUGCCCAGGCUGGAGUGCAAUAGUACAAUCUUGGCUCACUGCAACCUCCACCUUUCAGGUUCAAGCAAUUUCCAGCUAAUUUUUUUUGAAUUCUUAGCAGGGACGGGGUUUCACCAUGUUGGCCAGGCUGGUUUCGAACUCCUGACCUCAAGUGAUCUGCAAUACACUGGUCUUCUGGUCUAUCAUAGAGGUGUAGUGGGGAGCUGACAUAAUAUCAGAAACUGAGACUUAGAAAUUCAGCAAAUCAUCAUUAUCAUACAAAGCACUCUGAAACACUGCCUGGCACAUAGACAAUGCUCUAUAAAUGUAAGGGAGUAGUAGAAGUAUUAGUAUUAUCAUCACCAUCAUCAAACUGAUAACCGGGGGUUGAUUUAAUAGUGUUGAGUAGUUUAAACAAGUUUCAGAGUUAGGAUUUAAAUUAUGACUGAAAUUUGAAUGUCUUUCAUUAUACCAGGUUGAUGGCAGCAGAAAUAGCUUCCUGUUAUUCAGAAUAAUGAUGCCCAGGACAAAUAUUACUAUUCCGUAUGUUCCCUGUUUCCUUGACCAUCAUCCAUUUUUGCUUUCCAGAUUAAGCCCUCCAAGGGAGUUUGAAAUAAAAGAUCAUAUGGGCUAAAGCCAAACAACAACUGAACAAUACCAAUGGGCAGAAUUUGGGGAGUCUAAAAACCUAAUGGUUUUACCUGGGAACAGCUAACCCUAUUUACAAUACAGAGCCUCCAGCUUUUGGCUCAUCUCUAGCUCUUGGGCUCUUCUCUAGGCUUGGAGAGAUCAGAUUGCUAAAGACAGCCUUUUUCAAGAGGCUCACUUCUUUUCUAGUCCUCAGGUCCUCAUACCCUCGUUGAUUUUUCUUCUUUCCUUUUAUUUCCUUUUUUUUUUUUUUUUUAAAUUUUUUCAGAUAGGAUCUUGCUCUGUUGCCCAGGCUAGAGUGCAGUGGGACAAUCAUAGCUCAUGCAGCCUCGAUCACCUGGGCUCAAGUGAUCCUCCCACUUCAGCCUCCUGAACAGCUGGGACUACAUACAUGUGCCACUAUGCCCAGCUAAUUCUUUUGGUUUUUAAUAGAAAUAAGGUCUUGCUAUGUUGCCCAGGCUGGUCUCAAAUUCCUGAGCUCAAGCUUUCCUCUGGUCUCAGCCUCCCAAACUGCUAGGAUUACAGGCAUGAGCCACCACACCCGGACUACCCUUGUUGAUUUCUGAAACUAUUUAAGUGUCUUAAAAACUCAAGAUGAUGCCUAGAAGAGUCCAGAAGAGGGGAAAUGCAGGGGGAAGUGCUAUUGUUGACAUUAUCCCAAUAACCCCAGGAACCCAGAUCAGUCCAGCACUUUUUUGUAUGUCUUGAUUAUUUUACUGAUACAAAAUUGGAUCAGGCUUUUUGACAGUUUGUGGUGAGUGAAAAACCCAGAGCUGGGCCAGAAUGCCACCAGGAAGCCCUAUGUUUCAUUUGGCUAAUGUUCUUUCUUAAAGAACCAAAUCAAAGUCAUCUCUUUUGUGACACCGUGUGCAGUCCUACAGGUGGAGCUACCUUUAUUAUAUUUGUAUUAGAAUUAUUUGAUUGCCUGUCACUUCUGUACAUCUUUCCAUGAACAAAUAGAGAGAUCACAUCUAUUAACUCUGUUCUCCCUCUAACAAUAGCAAUUACAUAGUGGCAAAUACAUUAAAGAUGCUUAAUAAAUAAUUGUUAAACAAAUUAAUAGAUAAAUGGAUACUAGGCUUCUGGGUCUUAUUUAGGCCUGAAGUGCUAGUACAAUUGCAGAGGAUAUACUUUUGCAUCAUUUGGGCCUGUCUCAGUCUGUUUUGUAUUGCUAUAACAGAAUACCACAGACUGAGUAAUUUACAAAGAAAAGCAAUUUAUUUCUGGAGGCUGGGAAGGUUAAGUUCAAGGGACCCACAUCUCCUGAGGGCCCUCUUGCUGUGUCAUACCUUGGGAAGUGAAAAGCAAAGGGUGAGUCAGGCCAUAGAACUCACAGCCUCAAGCUCUUUUUAACUGGACAUUUACAGAUUCAUGAGGGCUCCACCCUCAUGACCUGAACACCUCUCAUUAGGCCCUACCUCCCGACACUGUGGCGUUGGGGAUUGUUUCCAACAUGUGUUCUUUGGGGGAUACAUUCAAACCAGAGCAGGACCCAUAUCUGUGCAUCAUAUUAGAUGAGUGAACUUUUUUUUUUGAAACAGAGUCUUGCUCUUGUCACCCAGGCUGGAGUGUAGUGGCAUGAUCUGGGCUCACUGCAACCUCCACCUUCCAGGUUUCAAGUAAUUCUUCUGCCACAGCCUCCCAAGUAGGUGGGAUUACAGGUACCUGCCAUCGCACCCAGCUAAUUUUUGUAUUUUUGGUAGAGACGGGGUUUUCACCAUGUUGGCCAGGCUGGUCAUGAACACCUGACCUUGUAAUCCACCUGCCUCAGCCUCCCAAAGUGCUGGGAUUAAAGAAGUGAGCCACUGUACCCGUCGGAUUAAACAUUUUUAUAUUUUAUUUUGCUUUAUUCAUCUCUGUAUCUUCUACAGGACCCGUUUUCAAGAAAUACAUGUUGAGGAUCUGUUCUGCUCAGAAAUGGAAUAGAAUUUGUAUGUGUUUCUUUUGUUUUGUUUUUGAGAUGAAGUUUCCCUCUUGUUGCCCAGGCUAGAGUGCAAUGGCACAAUCCUGGCUCACUGCAACCUCUGCCUCCUGGGUUCGAACAAUUCCCCUGCCUCAGUCUCUUGAGUAGCUGGGACUACAGGUGCAUGCAGAUUCAGAGGGAAGAGAAGAUCUCAAAUCCCAAGAAGGAAAGGAAUUAACAGUGAGACGUUUGAAGAGAUGAAACAGAGAAGAGGCAGGUGGCAGUAAAAACACAGAAGAAAACUGCAGAUAGACAAAUAAUAAGGAAAAAGACAGGAAGUGAUCAUUAAUUGAAUGAAUAGAGCUGAAAUUGAGAAUGCUUUUCUUUUCUAAACUGGACUUGGAUUUAGAUUUUAAAAUUACUUAAUUUUAUUUACUCAUAUUCAUUCAUUCAUUCAACAGAAUGUACAAAUCAUACAUGAUAACAGUAUCUACUACAUAGAAUUGUCACAAAUUAAAUCAAUUAAUUCUUGGAAAGCACAGUUUAUUCAUGAUGCUUUGUAUAUCAUGUUAAGGAAUUGGGAUUUGAACUUCUAAGAGUUGUUUAAAAGCCAUUAUAUUAAGGCUCAGCAGUUAAUUGGCAUGUGAGAGCUGUUGUGCUCCAAGUUCUUAUCAGAAAUAGAAUCUAGAACUCAUUGCCAUUCCAUACUUUUCAAAAGCAUUUAACUGAGAAAAAUAACCUUCACAGAGAAUACACAAUCAGUUCAUCCA
Non-coding RNA from Callithrix jacchus (white-tufted-ear marmoset), 5747 nucleotides. The record is from RefSeq and is a predicted model, not a curated record. Lineage: Eukaryota; Metazoa; Chordata; Mammalia; Primates; Cebidae.